GACGAACGCUGGCGGCGUGCUUAACACAUGCAAGUCGAACGGGUCUGCCCUGUUUUUUGCGGGGUGGGUCAGUGGCGAACGGGUGAGUAACACGUGAGUAACCUGCCCCUCACUUCUGGAUAACCGCUUGAAAGGGUGGCUAAUACGGGGUGUUCUGGCUGUGCCGCAUGGUGUGGCUGGGAAAGAUUCACUUUUGUGGUGUUUUGGUGGGGGAUGGGCUCGCGGCCUAUCAGCUUGUUGGGGGGGUGAUGGCCUGCCAAGGCUUUGACGGGUUGCCGGCCUGGGAGGGUGGGCGGUCACGCUGGGACUGAGAUACGGCCCAGACUCCGGCGGGAGGCAGCAGUGGGGGGUAUUGCACAAUGGGCGGAAGGCUGAUGCAGCGACGUCGCGUGGGGGAUGGAGGCCUUCGGGUUGUGAACCUCUUUCGCCGGUGAAGAAGGUCCUGCUCUUUGUGGUGGGGUUGACGGUAGCCGGGUUAUGAAGCGCCGGCUAACUACGUG
RNAcentral lists this ribosomal RNA (500 nucleotides) under uncultured bacterium. RNAcentral describes it as "partial 16S ribosomal RNA". It matches the Rfam family "Bacterial small subunit ribosomal RNA", at positions 28 to 507 of the family's 1533-position model. The record is from RNAcentral.